This 489-nucleotide ribosomal RNA is filed under the name uncultured bacterium. RNAcentral describes it as "partial 16S ribosomal RNA". It matches the Rfam family "Bacterial small subunit ribosomal RNA", at positions 30 to 507 of the family's 1533-position model. The record is from RNAcentral.
AUUGAACGCUGGCGGCAGGCCUAACACAUGCGAGUCGAACGGUAACAGGAAGAAGCUUGCUUCUUUGCUGACGAGUGGCGGACGGGUGAGUAAUGUCUGGGAAACUGCCUGAUGGAGGGGGAUAACUACUGGAAACGGUAGCUAAUACCGCAUAACGUCGCAAGACCAAAAAGGGGGACCUUCGGGCCUCUUGCCAUCGGAUGUGCCCAGAUGGGAUUAGCUAGUAGGUGGGGUAACGGCUCACCUAGGCGACGAUCCCUAGCUGGUCUGAGAGGAUGACCAGCCACACUGGAACUGAGACACGGUCCAGACUCCUACGGGAGGCAGCAGUGGGAAUAUUGCACAAUGGGCGCAAGCCUGAUGCAGCCAUGCCGCGUGUAUGAAGAAGGCCUUCGGGUUGUAAAGUACUUUCAGCGGGGAGGAAGGGAGUAAAGUUAAUACCUUUGCUCAUUGACGUUACCCGCAGAAGAAGCACCGGCUAACUCCGUG